Molecule: long non-coding RNA, 257 nt
Filed under: Elaeis guineensis (African oil palm)
Lineage: Eukaryota; Viridiplantae; Streptophyta; Magnoliopsida; Arecales; Arecaceae
Description: long non-coding RNA (EGUI_LNC040263)
Source: RNAcentral
CCAUGCUAAGAGAAUUUUUUUUAGCAUCCUGAGUUCUGGAUGAGUGGAUCAUUGAUUCUUGAUAUUAGAAUUGGAAUAUUUAAUGAUAGAUUUUCAUUCUCUUAGAUUUGAAGCAUAUGUUUCUCUAUCUAUUAGAAAAAAAAAUUGAGAUUGUUUAUCGAUCUUAGAUUUUUAUCUUCGAACAUUCAUCUACGGAGAAUAUAGUAAAGUUUGUUAAUAAUCUUUUGAUAGAUUGAUUGAGUCAAUAAUAGAUAAUG